AAGUCGUAACAAGGUUUCCGUAGGUGAACCUGCGGAAGGAUCAUUAACAACAUAUCCUAACUAAAAAACCCUGUGAACUUUCAAUGUCCCGAACCUUUGAUCCGAGGACUUCAGCAAUCUCUGGUAAAUCAUAGUGAACAGCUUUUGAUUCAGAGACCUCUGAAAUAACCUAGCGUGGUUCUAGUGAAAGCUAUUGGGUUAUAACUAAACGACUGUUAACAAUGGAUAUCUCGAUUCUC
This 239-nucleotide unclassified non-coding RNA is filed under the name fungal sp. RNAcentral's name for it is "partial internal transcribed spacer region". The stretch from base 1 to 46 matches the Rfam family "Eukaryotic small subunit ribosomal RNA", at positions 1786 to 1831 of the family's 1831-position model. Lineage: Eukaryota; Fungi. The record is from RNAcentral.